Molecule: ribosomal RNA, 275 nt
Filed under: Isochrysis galbana
Lineage: Eukaryota; Haptophyta; Isochrysidales; Isochrysidaceae
Description: partial Bacterial large subunit ribosomal RNA
Rfam family: Bacterial large subunit ribosomal RNA
Source: RNAcentral
GACUGGAGGCCCGAACCCACUUAUGUUGAAAAAUGAGGGGAUGAGCUGUGGAUCGGAGUGAAAGGCUAAUCAAGCCCGGAGAUAGCUGGUUCUCCUCGAAAGCUAUUUAGGUAGCGCCUCGGACUUAUACCUACGGGGGUAGAGCACUGUUUGGGCUAGGGGCCCCACCAGGUUACCAACCCCAGGCAAACUCCGAAUACCGUUUCGUGAAGUAUGGCACUGAGACUGCGGGGGAUAAUCUUCGUAGUCGAGAGGGAAACAACCCAGACCGCCAG